CCUACGGGAGGCAGCAGUGAGGAAUAUUGGUCAAUGGACGAGAGUCUGAACCAGCCAAGUAGCGUGAAGGAUGACUGCCCUAUGGGUUGUAAACUUCUUUUAUAAAGGAAUAAAACGUGGCACGUGUGCCUUUCUGCAUGUACUUUAUGAAUAAGGAUCGGCUAACUCCGUGCCAGCAGCCGCGGUAAUACGGAGGAUCCGAGCGUUAUCCGGAUUUAUUGGGUUUAAAGGGAGCGUAGAUGGGUUGUUAAGUCAGUUGUGAAAGUUUGCGGCUCAACCGUAAAAUUGGAAUUGAUACUGGCAGUCUUGAGUACAGUUGAGGUAGGCGGAAUUCGUGGUGUAGCGGUGAAAUGCUUAGAUAUCACGAAGAACCCCGAUUGCGAAGGCAGCUUGCUAAACUGUGACUGACAUUGAUGCUCGAAAGUGUGGGUAUCAAACAGGAUUAGAUACCCCAGUAGUC
Molecule: ribosomal RNA, 460 nt
Filed under: uncultured bacterium
Lineage: Bacteria
Description: partial 16S ribosomal RNA
Rfam family: Bacterial small subunit ribosomal RNA
Source: RNAcentral